This 1000-nucleotide long non-coding RNA is filed under the name Homo sapiens (human). RNAcentral describes it as "HSALNT0391868". The record is from RNAcentral. Lineage: Eukaryota; Metazoa; Chordata; Mammalia; Primates; Hominidae.
CUUGAACCCAGGAGGUGGAGGUUGCAGUGAGUCGAGAUCACACCACUGCACUCCAGCCUGGGUGACACAGUGAGACUCCAUCUCAAGAAAAAAAAAAAAAGAAAAAUUCUAAUCUGGCAGAAGUUGGACUCCAGGAGGGCAGGGAUUUGCUGUAUCCUCUUAGAAGAGGGUUGUUGGAAAGUUCCAGGCACAUCAAAGAUAUUCCAUAAUUACAUGUCGAGAAUAGAGAACAGAGUGGUUCAAGAAGUUGUCUCAGCAGCUUAUUCGCUGCUUUCAAAUGCAGAGUUGGCCUUGUAUGGGAACUUGCUUACCCUGUGUCUCGGGGGACAGACCUUCAUAGCCUUCCUUGGGAGACCGGCACUUUAAGAGGCUCUAUUCCAACCCUGACACAUGACUUGCUCAAGGUCACAUAGCUGGUAAAUGGCAGGUGUCAGAAGCCAGGCCUCUUGACUGCCAGCAUUUCUCUGCCUCUCUAUCUUUGUGUGUGACUGAAUGUGAGACAGGGACACCAGACAGGCCUAGACCCUGCAUCCUGGGAGUUUGCAACUCAAAGAUAUUUCCUCUACUUUCUGUGAACUGCCUUGAUCCCUGGCCAGCAAACUAGAUGUGGUAUCCUCAAAGCCAGACACAGGAUCUGAAGACCUUGGCUGGGAAUGUCAGAGGCGAGGCACAGCCUGCCUGAGCCCAGUGAGAGGAGAGGCAGAGCAUCUACAGGGCUUCAGGAGGCCCCUGCUGCAACCCUGCCUGCAAGUGAGUGAGUCGGCUGGAGCUGAGGCUGAGUUUCAAGUUCUAGGGAAAUGGAAAGGCCACGAGAAGAAGUAGGACCCGAAAGAAACUUUCCCUUCUUGGAAACGUCCGUGUCGCCAUUAUCCCCAACAACUUCCUUUUCACCUCCCUGCCUCUAAGGGACCCUCCCACCAUCAGCUUUCUCCUCUUUAUCCUGUGCCUCCAACUUCCCCCUUCCAUGGCUGCUACAUAAUAAGCAUUCAAUAAAUAUGAG